GAUGAACGCUGGCGGCGUGCCUAAUACAUGCAAGUCGAACGCACAGCGAAAGGUGCUUGCACCUUUCAAGUGAGUGGCGAACGGGUGAGUAACACGUGGAUAACCUACCUCAAGGUUGGGGAUAACAUUUGGAAACAGAUGCUAAUACCGAAUAAAACUUAGUAUCGCAUGAUACCAGGUUAAAAGGCGCUACGGCGUCACCUAGAGAUGGAUCCGCGGUGCAUUAGUUAGUUGGUGGGUAAAGGCUUACCAAGACAAUGAUGCAUAGCCGAGUUGAGAGACUGAUCGGCCACAUUGGACUGAGACACGGCCCAAACUCCUACGGGAGGCUGCAGUAGGGAAUCUUCCACAAUGGGCGAAAGCCUGAUGGAGCAACGCCGCGUGUGUGAUGAAGCUUGGUCGUAAAGCACUGUGUAUGGAAGAACAGCUAGAGUAGGGAAUGAC
This 444-nucleotide ribosomal RNA is filed under the name uncultured bacterium. Its description in RNAcentral is "bacterial SSU rRNA". It matches the Rfam family "Bacterial small subunit ribosomal RNA", at positions 28 to 473 of the family's 1533-position model. The record is from RNAcentral.